This 440-nucleotide ribosomal RNA is filed under the name uncultured bacterium. RNAcentral's name for it is "partial 16S ribosomal RNA". It matches the Rfam family "Bacterial small subunit ribosomal RNA", at positions 338 to 795 of the family's 1533-position model. The record is from RNAcentral.
CCUACGGGUGGCAGCAGUGGGGAAUAUUGCACAAUGGGGGAAACCCUGAUGCAGCGACGCCGCGUGAGUGAGGAAGUAUUUAGGUAUGUAAAGCUCUAUCAGCAGGGAAGAAAAUGACGGUACCUGACUAAGAAGCCCCGGCUAACUACGUUCCAGCAGGCGACGUAAUACGUAGGGGGCAAGCGUUAUACGGAUUUACUGGGUGUAAAGGGCGCGUAGAAGGAAUUGCAAGUCUGAUGUGAAAUCCCGGGGCUCAACUGCGGGAGUGCAUUGGAGACUGUUGAUCUAGAGUGUCGGAGGGGCAAGCGGAAUGCCUAGUGUAGCGGUGAAAUGCGUAGAUAUUAGGAGGAACACCAGUGGCGAAGGCGGCUUACUGGACGAUGACUGACGUUGAGGCUCGAAAGCGUGGGGAGCAAACAGGAUUAGAUACCCCAGUAGUC